GUCGGCCCACCGGGAAAAUGCCCGGUAUGCCAGAUGGCCAGUCUGCCCAUGGGUUCACCCCAGUACACACGGUAGUCAAGUCAUUAUCUUAGGCUUCCUUGCACACUGUUGACCCUCUACAUUCUCAAUGUUGCAGGUCAGAGGUCAGAGGGCACUGACUCCUGUGUGGCCCAGUCAGUCAGCGCAACUCUGGGCCCGGGACAGCUGGUCUCCUAAGGACUGGGUCCAACCCAGCAGGUCUCAUUACUUAGGACACUGGUCCAGAACACAAUGUCUACUGCUCACAGCAACAGCAGCCCACAGAGAGCAACUACAACCAAUUACAGAACUGAGUGACCUGAAUUACAUGAAGAGCAAAGCCAGUGCCUCUGAGGACCCAGCAAUGUAUCCCUCUGAAAUGGCUGCUGCCCCCCAGUCCAUGCCUAAAAAAACUGGUUGUCUGGUUGGUCCACUGGCCUCAGUUUUACAAUUUCAAGCCCCAAACAGCCAUCAGUAAGGCCACAAACUAGGCCAUCAUCAUCUGGACAAUACACUGCACAACCUUCAUCAUGGCAAUACCCACAGGAAAGAACUGAAAGACCCUAUUCAUUGUUGAGUCCCUCGAGGGAAGCCAGUGGUGUGACACAACAGCCCUCAGUAAGGCCACGAACUAGGCCAUCAUCAUCUGGACAAUACCUGCAUCAUGGCAAUACCCACAGGCCAGUGCCUCUGAGGACCCAGCAAUGUAUCCCUCUGAAAUGGCUGCUGCCCCCCAGUCCAUGCCUAAAAAAACCCAUAAACAACUGCAACACAGGAGGUCUGAUUGGUCCACUGGCCUCAGUUUUACAAUUUCAAGCCCCAAACAGCCAUCAGUAAGGCCACAAACUAGGCCAUCAUCAUCUGGACAAUACACUGCACGACCUGCAUCAUGGCAAUACCCACAGGAAAGGACUGAAACACCCUCAUCAUUGUUGAGUCCCUCGAAGGAAGCCAGUGGUGUGACACAACAGCCCUCAGUAAGGACACGAACUAGGCCAUCAUCAUCUGGACAAUACACUCCACGACCCGCAUCAUGGCAAUACCCACAGGAAGAUGUAGAGGAAGGUGCUACAGAUGCUUCAGACACAUCUGUGAGAGAUAUGAGCAUUAGCUUUGGGGAAAUGGAUUUGGCCCGAGCUCUGGCUCUGUCUCCAGCUCUGGAUGGGCAGGAAGAAAGUGGCUAGUCGAUGAGGCCAAGCUGAUGGAGCUUUUUAGAACAUGCGCUCAGUGUGGUGUGGCCAUUGAGUAAAAACGAGUAGCCACACGUGCCAGCCAGAUCAGAAUACACUGGACGUGUUUGAAGGGACAUACCGGGGAAUGGGCAUCAUGCACCGACCAAAGAAAUAUGGGCCGCAACAACAUCUUGACAUGUGCUGCAACAUUUUUCACCAGAGCCACCUACUUGGACAUUAAAGAAUGGGCAGAACUAAUCAACCUGCAGCUACCAGGCAAGACUCAGUUUUACGCCAUUCAAUCCAAAUACCUCAUCCCUAUGAUAAAUCAUGCAUACAAGGGACAUCAACAAAAAAUUCUGGAGAGGAUUUCUCAACUUUCUGCUUCAGGGCAAAAACUGGAAAUGUGUGGUGAUGCGUGGUGUGAUAGCCCU
This is a long non-coding RNA of Alosa alosa (allis shad), 1624 nucleotides long. RefSeq lists it as uncharacterized. The transcript has 6 exons. The record is from RefSeq and is a predicted model, not a curated record. NCBI's taxonomy places the organism in Eukaryota, Metazoa, Chordata, Actinopteri, Clupeiformes, Clupeidae.